Bos taurus (domestic cattle) is the source of this 1300-nucleotide long non-coding RNA. The record is from Ensembl. NCBI's taxonomy places the organism in Eukaryota, Metazoa, Chordata, Mammalia, Artiodactyla, Bovidae.
GCUGUGGGGCUUCGGGAGAGAAGCUUUACUUCUCAGAGUCCCAGUCUGGUCGCAACUAAGACACAGCGGAUGAUCGCUGCGUCUGGGGUUGACGUGAGGAUUUGAGAUGCCGAGGGCUCAGCUCAGAGCUGGGGCUAAUAGUGGCCUGUUUCCUAUUAAUGGUGAUGAUUGCCAAGGGCCGAGCUCCAGCAACCGCAGGCUACAGAACCCGGAUCCAGAGACUGAGUCACUCUGAUCAAAUCGCGCAGCCUCUCAGACCCUCAGUCUCUUCUUCAUCUGUAACCAAAACCAAACUCCACACCAGGGUCCUGAGAGUGAAGAGAAGCUGUGUACCAGCAUGGAGCAGGCACACACCACAGGGCCGCCAGCUCCCACGCCCGGCCCCCAUUGGUGGCCGAGGCAUGGAGCAGGCAGGUGGAGGCCAGCGUUUGGCUGCCGUGGGCCCCGGCCGACUGGGCUCCAGUCCUGCUCUGCUGCUGCAGUGGCCAGGGCCCCGGAAAGCAAGGCCCCCACCUCCUCUUUCACCAGGGUGGUGGGUGUGAGACAGGUGUGCAUCCAGCACAGGGACAUACAGCCCAGGGCCCUGCCACCCAGUGUCUCCACUGGGUGCAUCCAGGCACCUUCUCACUUGGGUUCACUGUGCACCUGCUGUGUGGGCAUCUCCUGUGCAAACUCAAUGACCCCUGCGGGCCAGGCAUGGGCUGAGCCACAAGUGGCCCCUCCUGGAGGAGCCCCUGGGGGGUCCCUGAAGGCUCUCCCACACACUUUCCCAAACAGAGAAGGAGAGCAACCUGCCCAGGGUCGCACAGCACCCUUCCUGACCGCAAGGCCCGGGGGCUCCCCGCCAGCGUGCUGUCUCCACACCCAGAGGGAAGGCAGAAUUCUAAAAUAGCCAAUAUAACCCCCCCUCCUGAGUUAAACUGAGAAUGUGAUGGGGUUCCCCUCCCUUAGUUAGUUUGGUGGUAGUGGUGGUGGUUUAGCCGCUAAGUCGUUUCCAACUCGCGACCCCAUGGACUGUAGCCUGACAGACUCCUCUGUCCAUGGGAUUCUCCAGGCAAGAGCACUGGGGUAUGUUGCCAUUUCCUUCUCAUUAGUUAGGUUUUAUAUGUGCAAAGGUGAAGGUUUUGCAGAUGUAAUUAAGGUCUCUAAUCGGUUGACUGAGUUUCUCAAACAAGCUGGGCCUGACCUAUUCGGGUGAGUCCUUUAUAAGUGGGCCCCGCCUUCCCUGCAGAGAGCUGUGUGCUGCAGAAAGGAUCUACCAGCUUGAAGAAUGCCAUGGAGCAAAUUUCCUAUGGAGGGG